This 861-nucleotide ribosomal RNA is filed under the name uncultured bacterium. Its description in RNAcentral is "bacterial SSU rRNA". It matches the Rfam family "Bacterial small subunit ribosomal RNA", at positions 59 to 934 of the family's 1533-position model. The record is from RNAcentral.
CAGUCGAACGAGAGAUGAGGAGCUUGCUCUUCAAUCGAGUGGCGAACGGGUGAGUAUCGCGUGAGGAACCUGCCUCAAAGAGGGGGACAACAGUUGGAAACGACUGCUAAUACCGCAUAAGCCCACGGCUCGGCAUCGAGCAGAGGGAAAAGGAGCAAUCCGCUUUGAGAUGGCCUCGCGUCCGAUUAGCUAGUUGGUGAGGUAACGGCCCACCAAGGCGGCGAUCGGUAGCCGGACUGAGAGGUUGAACGGCCACAUUGGGACUGAGACACGGCCCAGACUCCUACGGGAGGCAGCAGUGGGGAAUAUUGCACAAUGGGGGAAACCCUGAUGCAGCGACGCCGCGUGGAGGAAGAAGGUCUUCGGAUUGUAAACUCCUGUUGUUGAGGAAGAUAAUGACGGUACUCAACAAGGAAGUGACGGCUAACUACGUGCCAGCAGCCGCGGUAAAACGUAGGUCACAAGCGUUGUCCGGAAUUACUGGGUGUAAAGGGAGCGCAGGCGGGAGAACAAGUUGGAAGUGAAAUCCAUGGGCUCAACCCAUGAACUGCUUUCAAAACUGUUUUUCUUGAGUAGUGCAGAGGUAGGCGGAAUUCCCGGUGUAGCGGUGGAAUGCGUAGAUAUCGGGAGGAACACCAGUGGCGAAGGCGGCCUACUGGGCACCAACUGACGCUGAGGCUCGAAAGUGUGGGUAGCAAACAGGAUUAGAUACCCUGGUAGUCCACACCGUANACGAUGAUUACUAGGUGUUGGAGGANUGACCCCUUCAGUGCCGCAGUUAACACAAUAAGUAAUCCACCUGGGGAGUACGACCGCAAGGUUGAAACUCAAAGGAAUUGACGGGGGCCCGCACAAGCAGUG